RNAcentral lists this ribosomal RNA (499 nucleotides) under uncultured bacterium. RNAcentral describes it as "partial 16S ribosomal RNA". It matches the Rfam family "Bacterial small subunit ribosomal RNA", at positions 28 to 507 of the family's 1533-position model. The record is from RNAcentral.
GACGAACGCUGGCGGCGUGCCUAAUACAUGCAAGUCGAGCGAAUCUGAUGGGAGCUUGCUCCUUGAUGAUUAGCGGCGGACGGGUGAGUAACACGUGGGUAACCUGCCUGUAAGACUGGGAUAACUCCGGGAAACCGGGGCUAAUACCGGAUAACUUUUUUCUUCGCAUGAGGGAGAAUUGAAAGAUGGCUUCGGCUAUCACUUACAGAUGAACCCGCGGCGCAUUAGCUAGUUGGUGAGGUAAAGGCUCACCAAGGCGACGAUGCGUAGCCGACUUGUGAGGGUGAUAGGCCACACUGGGACUGAGACACGGCCCAGACUCCUACUGGAGGCAGAAGUAGGGAAUCGUCCGAGAUGGACGAAAGUCUGACGGAGCAACGCCGCGGGAGUGAUGAAGGUUUUCGGAUCGUAAAACUCUGUUGUUAGGGAAGAACAAGUAUCGUUCGAAUAGGGCGGUACCUUGACGGUACCUAACCAGAAAGCCACGGCUAACUACGUG